GCUGGCGUAGCUCAAUUGGUAGAGCACCUGACUUGUAAUCAGGGGGUUGCGGGUUCGAGUCCCAUCGCCAGCUCCG
RNAcentral lists this transfer RNA (76 nucleotides) under Deltaproteobacteria bacterium. RNAcentral describes it as "tRNA-Thr". It matches the Rfam family "tRNA". Rfam says of the family: Transfer RNA (tRNA) molecules are approximately 80 nucleotides in length. Their secondary structure includes four short double-helical elements and three loops (D, anti-codon, and T loops). The record is from RNAcentral. Lineage: Bacteria; Pseudomonadati; Myxococcota; Myxococcia.